Molecule: ribosomal RNA, 253 nt
Filed under: uncultured bacterium
Lineage: Bacteria
Description: partial 16S ribosomal RNA
Rfam family: Bacterial small subunit ribosomal RNA
Source: RNAcentral
UACGUAGGAUGCAAGCGUUGUCCGGAAUUAUUGGGCGUAAAGAGUUCGUAGGUGGUUACUUAAGUCUGGUGUUAAAGACUGAAGCUCAACUUCAGCAUGGCAUUGGAUACUGGGUGGCUAGAGUGUGGAAGAGGUAACUGGAAUUCCUGGUGUAGCGGUGAAAUGCGCAGAUAUCAGGAGGAACACCCGUGGCGAAAGCGAGUUACUGGUCCAUUACUGACACUGAGGAACGAAAGCCAGGGUAGCAAAAGGG